Molecule: long non-coding RNA, 295 nt
Filed under: Homo sapiens (human)
Lineage: Eukaryota; Metazoa; Chordata; Mammalia; Primates; Hominidae
Description: non-protein coding lnc-CTR9-1:1
Source: RNAcentral
ACAGACCUCGAUCCAGUGGGUUCCCCAGAGUGUUUUCCAGGACAUGCUAGUUCCAAAAGAUACUCCUUAAAAAAGAGUUCGAUAGUCAAAACGUUGCUUCCAGAAGAAGACUGUCUCAUUACUGUUACAUCUCUGGCCCUGGAGUAGCCCCUGGCAAAUAUGUACUCAGUACAUGUUUGCGAGACGCAUGGACUUGUAGAACAGUUCCACAGCUGUCCAUCACUGAUGUUCCAUACCUAGCGAUGCGGCCCCUCGAAACGCACUGGAGAGCUGGGCAGACCAAGGAUAAUUUCAC